Molecule: ribosomal RNA, 253 nt
Filed under: uncultured bacterium
Lineage: Bacteria
Description: partial 16S ribosomal RNA
Rfam family: Bacterial small subunit ribosomal RNA
Source: RNAcentral
UACGUAGGGGGCUAGCGUUGUCCGGAAUCAUUGGGCGUAAAGCGCGUGUAGGCGGUUCGGUAAGUCCGCUGUGAAAGUCGGGGGCUCAACCCUCGGAUGCCGGUGGAUACUGUCGGACUAGAGUACGGAAGAGGCGAGUGGAAUUCCUGGUGUAGCGGUGAAAUGCGCAGAUAUCAGGAGGAACACCAAUUGCGAAGGCAGCCCCCUGGGCCGACACUGACGCUCAGGCACGAAAGCGUGGGGAGCAAACAGG